GUUUCCGUAGUGUAGUGGUUAUCACGUUUGCUUUACACGCAGAAGGUCCCCAGUUCGAACCUGGGCGGAAACA
RNAcentral lists this transfer RNA (73 nucleotides) under Nematostella vectensis (starlet sea anemone). It matches the Rfam family "tRNA". From Rfam's summary of the family: Transfer RNA (tRNA) molecules are approximately 80 nucleotides in length. Their secondary structure includes four short double-helical elements and three loops (D, anti-codon, and T loops). Lineage: Eukaryota; Metazoa; Cnidaria; Anthozoa; Actiniaria; Edwardsiidae. The record is from Rfam by way of RNAcentral.